This is a long non-coding RNA of Momordica charantia (bitter melon), 196 nucleotides long. RefSeq lists it as uncharacterized. The record is from RefSeq and is a predicted model, not a curated record. NCBI's taxonomy places the organism in Eukaryota, Viridiplantae, Streptophyta, Magnoliopsida, Cucurbitales, Cucurbitaceae.
CCCGAUCUACGUUACCCACCCUUGCUCGAGUUAGAUAUGAGUUACCCACACUCAAACGAAAUCGUUUUUGUGGUGCCGAAUCAACCGAAGAAUUAGGAACAUUGAGCGUGGACUUUGUAGGUAACAGGGUUACUCUUUGGAAUGGUGGUGGCGAGGAGGAGGCUUGAUUGGAAAGACCAUUAGCUAUGCUGCGUGU